This 460-nucleotide ribosomal RNA is filed under the name uncultured bacterium. Its description in RNAcentral is "partial 16S ribosomal RNA". It matches the Rfam family "Bacterial small subunit ribosomal RNA", at positions 338 to 795 of the family's 1533-position model. The record is from RNAcentral.
CCUACGGGAGGCAGCAGUGAGGAAUAUUGGUCAAUGGACGAAAGUCUGAACCAGCCAAGUAGCGUGAAGGAUGACUGCCCUAUGGGUUGUAAACUUCUUUUAUAUGGGAAUAAAAUGUUCCACGUGUGGGAUUUUGUAUGUACCAUAUGAAUAAGGAUCGGCUAACUCCGUGCCAGCAGCCGCGGUAAUACGGAGGAUCCGAGCGUUAUCCGGAUUUAUUGGGUUUAAAGGGAGCGUAGGUGGAUUGUUAAGUCAGUUGUGAAAGUUUGCGGCUCAACCGUAAAAUUGCAGUUGAAACUGGCAGGCUUGAGUACAGGAGAGGUGGGCGGAAUUCGUGGUGUAGCGGUGAAAUGCUUAGAUAUCACGAAGAACUCCGAUUGCGAAGGCAGCUCACUGGACUGCAACUGACACUGAGGCUCGAAAGUGUGGGUAUCAAACAGGAUUAGAUACCCGGGUAGUC